AUCGCGUAACGACGCAGGUCACAACAGUCCUGGCGGCCUGCAGGGGGCUUCCAGGAGAAGCGAAUACCGGUACGUCGGGACACUCGGCGAGGAAUCGGCAUCCCAGAGCCUAGCGCUCAUUCCCGCCCCCACGCGGAUCACAUUCCCGCGUCGUGGCGCGCGCGUGGGAGGGGAUGUAAACGAGGGAAAUUUGAACAAAAGAGCUUGAAGAAGUUCAGGAAAAAUGGCAGGAAUGUUCUACAGCUCUGGCCCUGAUUGUCUCCAGAAGCAGCUAUUUCUCCUUCAGCGAUCAUGAACUUUGAAGGUCAAGCAACCUCUGCCUGGGCUUAGAUAGGCAUUGGCAUCAGAGAACUGAUGC
Molecule: long non-coding RNA, 358 nt
Organism: Lacerta agilis (Sand lizard)
Lineage: Eukaryota; Metazoa; Chordata; Lepidosauria; Squamata; Lacertidae
Exons: 3
Source: RefSeq, a predicted model, not a curated record